Molecule: long non-coding RNA, 1033 nt
Organism: Lactuca sativa (garden lettuce)
Lineage: Eukaryota; Viridiplantae; Streptophyta; Magnoliopsida; Asterales; Asteraceae
Source: RefSeq, a predicted model, not a curated record
AGGACAUGGAAUUGAAGAUGCUGGACAGUAGGCAGAUUUUGACCCACAGAGUUGAUAAAACAUGUGAUUUGUGUAUACAGAAACGCUCUUUAUGUUUUUAAAGGAACAACAUGGAUUCAUCAUAUUCAGGAUCAUGUCCAUAUUUUCAUAUAGGAAUCAGGGCAACACAUGUGGUAUGCUUUUAAUCAUCAAUCAAAGCCAAUGCAAGAAUUUUGUUGAUGAUUGCAUGCUCUGAUAGACAUGAGGAAACUCCUGAUGAGUAAAUGAAAGGUCCAACCAGAUCAUAUUGGCUGGCGUACUAUGGUGGCUCAGUUGGAUUUUAUCAUCAACAAGGAGUCAAUAACUUGAAAUUGUUGGAUGACAUGACAGAAAUGAGUUGAACCUACUGUAUAUAUAAGAUAUGAUGGAUCAUCAGAAAGACACGGAUGUAUUUUCCUUUGAAUAGCUUUCAAAGAAGUUUGUCUUGCAAAUGGAACACCUUCAUCUUCAUUCAGAGGCUCUCCCUCUGAUAACAAUCAGAAGACAAACAAUCAUUCGGGCAGCGGGCAGAGCCAAUAAAAACUCACGACCCUGCCCUGCCCGAGAUCCUUCCAUUCUUUGUGUGACAGCGUUGUUGAUGGUCAUGUUCAAAGUCAAAGUCAAAGUCAAAGCCAUGGUCAAAAUGAAAGGAGGAGAUUUAUAUGGCCCUUAAUGAUGUCAUGUCACCAUAGUUCCCAAAUACCCUCUGAUCCUCUCGAGCUGCUUUUAUUUUAUCAAAAAAUUAAAUUAAGAAAAGAUGCUUUUCUACCAAAAAUAAUUAGGAUUUGCUCUCGUAUAAUUGUUACUCCAUCAUGACAAACUUAUUGAUUUUCAUUUAUUUUUGGCAGUUUGAUAAGUUAUCACUGGUAUGGGGAAAGCCACAGCAGCAUCCUUUGGGGGUUGAAGAGGUAAAUUGUUUGAUUUUCUUACAAAUAGCAUUUUUUUUUUCUUAUUGCACUUUUGAAAAUCUAAUCUUGUUACCAACUUUUACUUUCAUAUUUUUCCGAUUAAGACA